This 327-nucleotide ribosomal RNA is filed under the name uncultured eukaryote. RNAcentral describes it as "partial 18S ribosomal RNA". It matches the Rfam family "Eukaryotic small subunit ribosomal RNA", at positions 1470 to 1796 of the family's 1831-position model. The record is from RNAcentral.
CCCUUAGAUGUUCUGGGCCGCACGCGCGCUACACUGACGAUGUCAGAGAGUGUCUCCUUCACCGAGAGGUGUGGGUAAUCUUUUAAACAUCGUCGUGCUGGGGAUAGAUCAUUGCAAUUUUUGAUCUUAAACGAGGAAUUCCUAGUAAGCGCGAGUCAUCAGCUCGCGCUGAUUACGUCCCUGCCCUUUGUACACACCGCCCGUCGCUACUACCGAUUGAAUGGUUUAGUGAGGCCUUCUGACUGGCGCCGCUACUCUGGCAACAGAGCGGCGGAUGCCGGGAAGUUGGUCAAACUUGAUCAUUUAGAGGAAGUAAAAGUCGUANCA